This 2167-nucleotide long non-coding RNA is filed under the name Homo sapiens (human). Its description in RNAcentral is "HSALNT0325705". The record is from RNAcentral. Lineage: Eukaryota; Metazoa; Chordata; Mammalia; Primates; Hominidae.
GCAAGAGAAAGAGAAAAGGGAGGUCUCAGAAUCUUUUAAACAAUCAGAUCUCCUUUGGACUAAUGAGUGAUAACUCACUCAUCACCAAGGGGAUGAUGGUAAACCAUUUAUGAGGGAUCUGGCCCCGUGAUCCAAUCACUUCUCACCAGACCCCACCUCCAACAUUGGGAAUCAUAUUUCAACAUAAGAUUUAGAAGGAACAUCCAAACCAUACCAUCCAGUAAGAGAUGAGGCUGUGUGAAGCCAAUGACAAGGCUUAAUAGGACAGUUACACACUGACCCUUAGAGUAUGGCACAAGAUCUUGACAUCUCUAGAAGAUAAUUAUACACAUUCGAAAAUCUUGCUACUAUUACCGUCUUAGAAACUUGCCAUCGGUUCUCCAUGCAGCCAGGACUGCUCAUUAAAAGUAAGUUCAGAUGAGCCCAUAAGGCAUCCAUUGUAAAAUAGAGUAAUACAUUUAAAAAGUGGCCCAAGAGGGCACAGAGGUCACAUGGAAGCUGGACAUGCAGAUCACAAAACUCCUAUGUCAUCCUUCACUGUUACACUGAUACCUCUCUGUUAGAUAACACCUAUGGCCUCAUUGAGAUGUCCUAUACCUAGAUGAUGGAGGAUGAAAAAGCUCAAAGUUAGUGCAAGGAUGAAUUAGCUCAGUAUGGGUCUGCAUGUCAUGGAGUGCUGCUGCACAAUUGUUCCAAGUAGGCGUGGCUUUGAAAGCCUAUGGAGAGGAAGGAAUAUGUCCCCAGCAGGCAGAAUUUGAGCGGUGUACCCAAUCAUCCACUUAGUGUGGAAACAGAAUUAACCUGGGGUAAAGAUAUGCACGAUUAUAAGGGCAGUCUGGGGAGAAGUCACAAAGAUGUACCUGUAAACCAUAAAAUAUAGUGCUCAGAUAUCUGCAUCACAGCUUAAUCUCCAUCAGAGAGUAUGGAAUCACCAAGUGCACAUAACACCUCAGCCAUUAAAUGCUAGCUAGUCUUUGUCCUUAAGUAUUCCAGUGCUUUACCAUGAGAUCAUGGAAUAAAUAGUCAUGGUGGCAUAGAGACUGUGUAUGGGUCCAGCAGCAUGGAUUCUCUGGCAAGCUAAUUUGAUCUACGUCUGGCUGCUACUGAGAACUUCAUCUGCCAGUAACACAGAAUGGUGCUCAGUCCAUAAUAAAGCACACAUAGAAGACAGCAAAGCAUUUGGUGUCAAUUUGAUUAUAAUGAACUCAUUAGGAUCUGGAAAAGGCAGUGAUUCAUCUUAAAUGUGAUUGUAAUGUACUCUAGAAAUGCCUUUUCCUUUCUUUGCGCUGUUGUUCAGCCAGCACCACUAUUUAAAUACUUAUACCAUGUCUGAUCUACCAACAUGGAAGCUCCUCUAACUAAAGUUUUCAAGCCAAUGAUGCUUUAUAGCAAACAUGCUGCAGUGGUGUGCACAUGACCACAGUUCAGCCACAAACUACACUAUCUUGAAACUGCUUCUCUGAUAAAGCAGGGGAAGAGCCUUUUGAAAAAAACAGUUGAGAAGCCAGCUUGAAAAUGAAACUAUAAGAGGAUGUGAUUCUCUCAUUCAGAAUGUGGUAUAAUUCUUAAACCGGUGGCCCUGACAUACUGCUUUGUUUCCAGCAGAUGGAAUACAUCAGUCUGGUCAUGAAGGAGUGGAAGUAUCAGUGAUCCCACUCACCAGUACACCCAGGGACCACCUGAGGCAUUUGUGUUUCCUGUUCUCUCAUCAUUAUGCUCUCUCAGUCUAAAGUGGGUCACUUCCACAAAGAGAUGUAGUAAGAGUAUCACUAGACUUAAAGCUAUAACUGCUGCCUGGAGAUUUGGGGCUCUUUGUUUCAGUAGACCAGCAAGUGCAGAAGGAAGUUACCAUACUAAAAAAGUUUACUUUAUCAGGACACAGAACUUAACUUGACAACCAGAGUCUUACAUUUAAAAAUACCUGAAUAAAACUCACUCACUAACUCAGAAGAAAUUUGAAAGACUAUGAAAAUCUUUGAAUACAAUGUAGAAGUUUUUAUUCCAAAACAGUGAAAAGGAGAGAGAGUAGAAGAGGAGAGAAGAGAGGAAGGAAGAAAAGGAGAGAAGAUGAGAAAAAAAAGCAAGUAGUGUCUUAAAUGGGAGAAAAAGUGAUAAGGAAAUAGUUUAAUUUAUUAAAGUCAAAGUUCAAUAAAAGUAAAUUAACUGC